RNAcentral lists this ribosomal RNA (964 nucleotides) under uncultured Bacillus sp. Its description in RNAcentral is "bacterial SSU rRNA". It matches the Rfam family "Bacterial small subunit ribosomal RNA", at positions 90 to 1038 of the family's 1533-position model. Lineage: Bacteria; Bacillati; Bacillota; Bacilli; Caryophanales; Bacillaceae. The record is from RNAcentral.
UGUUAGCGGCGGACGGGUGAGUAACACGUGGGUAACCUGCCUUUAAGACUGGGAUAACUCCGGGAAACCGGGGCUAAUACCGGAUGGUUGUCUGAACCGCAUGGUUCAGACAUAAAAGGUGGCUUCGGCUACCACUUACAGAUGGACCCGCGGCGCAUUAGCUAGUUGGUGAGGUAACGGCUCACCAAGGCGACGAUGCGUAGCCGACCUGAGAGGGUGAUCGGCCACACUGGGACUGAGACACGGCCCAGACUCCUACGGGAGGCAGCAGUAGGGAAUCUUCCGCAAUGGACGAAAGUCUGACGGAGCAACGCCGCGUGAGUGAUGAAGGUUUUCGGAUCGUAAAGCUCUGUUGUUAGGGAAGAACAAGUGCCGUUCAAAUAGGGCGGCACCUUGACGGUACCUAACCAGAAAGCCACGGCUAACUACGUGCCAGCAGCCGCGGUAAUACGUAGGUGGCAAGCGUUGUCCGGAAUUAUUGGGCGUAAAGGGCUCGCAGGCGGUUUCUUAAGUCUGAUGUGAAAGCCCCCGGCUCAACCGGGGAGGGUCAUUGGAAACUGGGGAACUUGAGUGCAGAAGAGGAGAGUGGAAUUCCACGUGUAGCGGUGAAAUGCGUAGAGAUGUGGAGGAACACCAGUGGCGAAGGCGACUCUCUGGUCUGUAACUGACGCUGAGGAGCGAAAGCGUGGGGAGCGAACAGGAUUAGAUACCCUGGUAGUCCACGCCGUAAACGAUGAGUGCUAAGUGUUAGGGGGUCUCCGCCCCUUAGUGCUGCAGCUAACGCAUUAAGCACUCCGCCUGGGGAGUACGGUCGCAAGACUGAAACUCAAAGGAAUUGACGGGGGCCCGCACAAGCGGUGGAGCAUGUGGUUUAAUUCGAAGCAACGCGAAGAACCUUACCAGGUCUUGACAUCCUCUGACAAUCCUAGAGAUAGGACGUCCCCUUCGGGGGCAGAGUGACAGG